UACGAAGGGGGCUAGCGUUGUUCGGAAUCACUGGGCGUAAAGCGCACGUAGGCGGAUCGUUAAGUCGGGGGUGAAAUCCCAGGGCUCAACCCUGGAACUGCCCUGGAAACUGCGCGGCUCGAGGCCGGGAGAGGAUGGUGGAAUUCCCAGUGUAGCGGUGAAAUGCGUAGAUAUUGGGAGGAACACCGGUGGCGAAGGCGGCCAUCUGGACCGGCCCUGACGCUGAGGCGCGAAAGCGUGGGGAGCAAACAGG
This 253-nucleotide ribosomal RNA is filed under the name uncultured bacterium. RNAcentral describes it as "partial 16S ribosomal RNA". It matches the Rfam family "Bacterial small subunit ribosomal RNA", at positions 524 to 776 of the family's 1533-position model. The record is from RNAcentral.